Molecule: ribosomal RNA, 420 nt
Filed under: Neisseria sicca
Lineage: Bacteria; Pseudomonadati; Pseudomonadota; Betaproteobacteria; Neisseriales; Neisseriaceae
Description: bacterial SSU rRNA
Rfam family: Bacterial small subunit ribosomal RNA
Source: RNAcentral
AUUGAACGCUGGCGGCAUGCUUUACACAUGCAAGUCGGACGGCAGCACAGAGAAGCUUGCUUCUUGGGUGGCGAGUGGCGAACGGGUGAGUAACAUAUCGGAACGUACCGGGCAGUGGGGGAUAACUAAUCGAAAGAUUAGCUAAUACCGCAUAUCUUCUGAGGAAGAAAGCAGGGGACCAUUUGGCCUUGCGCUGUUUGAGCGGCCGAUAUCUGAUUAGCUAGUUGGUGGGGUAAAGGCCUACCAAGGCGACGAUCAGUAGCGGGUCUGAGAGGAUGAUCCGCCACACUGGGACUGAGACACGGCCCAGACUCCUACGGGAGGCAGCAGUGGGGGAAAUUUUGGGACAAAUGGGGCGCAAAGCCCUGAUCCAGCCCAUGCCCGCGUGUUCUGAAGAAGGGCCCUUUCGGGUUGUAAAAG